AUACUUACCUGGCAGGGGAGACACCAUGAUCAUGAAGGUGGUUUUCCCAGGGUGAGGCUCAUCCAUUGCACUCCGGGUGUGCUGACCCCUGCGAUUUCCCCAAAUGUGGGAAAUUCGACUGCAUAAUUUGUGGUAGUGGGGGACUGCAUUUGCGCUUUCCCCUG
RNAcentral lists this small nuclear RNA (164 nucleotides) under Salvator merianae (Argentine black and white tegu). RNAcentral's name for it is "U1 spliceosomal RNA (ENSSMRG00000014446.1)". It matches the Rfam family "U1 spliceosomal RNA". Rfam says of the family: U1 is a small nuclear RNA (snRNA) component of the spliceosome (involved in pre-mRNA splicing). Its 5' end forms complementary base pairs with the 5' splice junction, thus defining the 5' donor site of an intron. Lineage: Eukaryota; Metazoa; Chordata; Lepidosauria; Squamata; Teiidae. The record is from Rfam by way of RNAcentral.